RNAcentral lists this ribosomal RNA (253 nucleotides) under uncultured bacterium. Its description in RNAcentral is "partial 16S ribosomal RNA". It matches the Rfam family "Bacterial small subunit ribosomal RNA", at positions 524 to 776 of the family's 1533-position model. The record is from RNAcentral.
UACAGAGGGUGCGAGCGUUGUCCGGAAUCACUGGGCGUAAAGGGCGCGUAGGUGGCGCGACAAGUCAGUGGUGAAAGCUCGACGCUCAACGUCGAGUCGGCCACUGAUACUGUUGGGCUUGAGCACUGUAGAGGCUAAUGGAAUUCCGGGUGUAGCGGUGGAAUGCGUAGAGCUCCGGAAGAACACCGGUGGCGAAGGCGGUUAGCUGGGCAGUUGCUGACACUGAGGCGCGACAGCGUGGGGAGCAAACAGG